AUCCGGAGCCAAGGUCCGCUCGGUAUCUUAAAUAGUGAAGAUGGAGAAAUAGUCAAUAAUGAAGAGCAUGAAUAUGCAUCCAAAAAAAGGAAAAAGGACCAUUUUAGAAAUGACACAAAUACUCAAAAGGCAUGGCUAUUGCACCUUGGGAGAAGCCUUUAAUCGGUUAGACUUCUCAAGUGCAAUUCAAGAUAUCCGAAGGUUCAAUUAUGUGGUCAAACUGCAGGACAAGUUCGAGCAUCUUAAAAUGAUUCAACAGGAGGAGAUAAGGAAGCUCGAGGAAGAGAAAAAACAACUGGAAGGAGAAAUCAUAGAUUUUUAUAAAAUGAAAGCUGCCUCUGAAGCACUGCAGACUCAGCUGAGCACCGAUACAAAGAAAGACAAACAUCUAACAAUUUGGACAAGACAGCAAAUGCUAUUGUCCAAGUUUUCUAAAGAAGAAUCUGAAGUGAAAUGACAUCAAGAGACCUAUCAAGACCUGUAUCCAGGAAAAGACCAAACCAAUGCAGACCAAACCAAUGCAGAACUCCUAUGUGCUGAUGGUGGUCUUACAUUUCCCUAAGUUUCUGCCGACUAAACUGUGCACACGUUCUCAGGACCUCCUGAAGCUGCGUCACAGGCACUAAUCAAAGAACACAACCAAGAGUUUGGCCUUUUCUUCAGCACUGGGAAUUGUGAUCCAAAGCUUUUCCCGAUGAAGCACAAAGUUGGAGAAAAAAAAACGCAAACUAAACAACCACAAUGAAACAGAACAGAGUUAAUCUGCUGUAGCUCAAGAGAGGAUGUACCUGCCCCCACCCCGCAUCCCUGGGCUCGGGUUUGCCUUGCUGACCUCUGCUGCCACCUGGUGCCA
This 853-nucleotide long non-coding RNA is filed under the name Homo sapiens (human). RNAcentral describes it as "non-protein coding LINC00115:24". Lineage: Eukaryota; Metazoa; Chordata; Mammalia; Primates; Hominidae. The record is from RNAcentral.